GAGCACUGUGUUUAUCCAGAAUGAGUACAUGAUGAAAGAAAACAAGACCAGACUGAUGGAAUUGUUUGUCAGCUCUUGCUUGGAUUCCGUGAACCAUCUUAGCAUCAUUCUACACAUAAUCAGAGUUAAGAUUUUUGGGAGCAAAGACAAAAUAACGUGAAGAGAGACUGUGAGACACUGACUUUGCUCUGCCUACCAGGAUGUGGAGGUUAAGAUUUAAAGUAAACAAUUCUUUGCUUUGGGUAAUUGCAAACUUCAACAACAUGACUAACCAUGAUUUUGGUUUUGCUCUUGUUUUUGUUUUUUUAAUUCCAAAUUCCAAA
This is a non-coding RNA of Delphinapterus leucas (beluga whale), 323 nucleotides long. The record is from RefSeq and is a predicted model, not a curated record. NCBI's taxonomy places the organism in Eukaryota, Metazoa, Chordata, Mammalia, Artiodactyla, Monodontidae.